AACGAACGCUGGCGGCAUGCCUAACACAUGCAAGUCGAACGAGACCUUCGGUUCUUUUUUCGCGGGGGUGCGUGAGUCGUGGGAACCUGCCCUUAGGUUGAGUAUCACGCCCCGAAAGUGUUGCUAAUACCGUAUAAUUUUGUCUGACCAGAGAUUUAUCGGCUUUGGAGGGUCCUGGGUUUGGUUAGCUAGUUGUUUGGGUAAAGGCUGACCAAGCGGACGAUCAGUAGCUGGGCGGAGAGGAGGAUCAGCAACACUGGGACUGAGACACGGCCCAGACUCAUACGGGAGGAAGCAGUGGGGAAUAUUGCACAAUGGGCGCAAGACUGAUGCAGCAAUGCCGCGUGAGUGAUGAAGGCCUUAGGGUUGUAAAGCUCUUUUAUCCGGGAUGAUAAUGACGGUACCGGGAGAAUAAGCGCCGGCUAACUACGUG
This 433-nucleotide ribosomal RNA is filed under the name uncultured bacterium. RNAcentral's name for it is "partial 16S ribosomal RNA". It matches the Rfam family "Bacterial small subunit ribosomal RNA", at positions 29 to 507 of the family's 1533-position model. The record is from RNAcentral.